This is a long non-coding RNA of Zea mays, 1198 nucleotides long. RefSeq lists it as uncharacterized. Lineage: Eukaryota; Viridiplantae; Streptophyta; Magnoliopsida; Poales; Poaceae. The record is from RefSeq and is a predicted model, not a curated record. The transcript has 2 exons.
CAAAAAAUAUUUGAAUUAAAAUUUCAAUGUGGAGUGCAAAUUUAAGACAAAUAUGACAUUUCAAAUAUACAAACAUUGUGAUAUUGCAAAUGGGUUUCCAAGAAUGGCUGCCCUGCAGCUGUUCGGACUGUUAUAGCUGCAAUCUAUAGAGACAAAAUAAUGUAGAAGCCGCAACCGCAGUCGCAUUAAAGCCACAGCAAGCCGCAGUCGCAUUAAAGCCACAGCAAGCCCUAGCUGCAGUCGGAUUAAAGCCGCAGCGAACAUGCAUGCAAAAGCUUUGCAAAUCCUAGAGUUUUUGUUGCUCCCAUGCAUGCAAAAGUUGGGUCACACUAGCAUGGUUGAACCAUCAAAGGCGAUAUAUGAGUGACGGUAGGUAUGAUUGUAAGAUUAAUAACUGAUUCUCACUUUGUGUGUACUCAGUCCGAAACACCAUAUUAAAGGUAUGUUUGUUUCCUUUAUAGUUUAUAUAAGUUAAAUUAUGGUGAAAGAGUAUGCAGGUAAAAUAUCCCUUUUAGACCAUAAAUAAGUUAACAUUGGAUAGUUUAUUUUAGCUUAUUUAUAAUCACCAAGUGAUAUUUUAUCCUCCUACACUUCCACCAUAAUCCAGCUUAUAAAAUCUAGGAGCUUAUCUCUACUAACUAUUAAGAUGUUAGUGUAGACUGCCCCCGCCCUCCUCUCCGCGCGUGCUCCCCUCCCCCCUGGACCGUAAGCCGGCAGUGGCGGCCGCAUGACCGCCCCCCGCAAACCCCUCCCCCUGCAUUCCUCCCCGUCCUCGCCUCGUGCGCUCCGCCCGUCGCUCCUGAACGCCCCGUCUCUAUACCACCGAAGGCGAGGAGGGGGCCAAGGACGAGCGCCUUUUCAUGCCCGCUGGCCAUUGCCGCUGCUCACGAGCCUCCCGCCUCGCGCUGCCCUGCCCUCUACGGAUCUGCCCCAGGAGAGCCAGACAGCCAGGUAAAGGAGCCGUCAAAGCCCCCGCCGAGGAGAGCACGCAAGGUUGGUUUGACCACGGUUGAAGGAAUAUGAUACUGCUACCGAGACAUGAGAGACUAUGCACGAGGCAUGCAAAUUAACAAGACUCAUACAAGCGCGGAACAGUGUGCUGAUGGGGCAUAAAGGUAACACAUACUAGGUCUUAACAUAUUUGGCUUCUGAGUAAACUUUCUCCAGACCCCAAGGAAAUAUAAGAUCCGAUUAGAUA